This 80-nucleotide transfer RNA is filed under the name Fasciola gigantica. RNAcentral's name for it is "tRNA-Ser". It matches the Rfam family "tRNA". Rfam says of the family: Transfer RNA (tRNA) molecules are approximately 80 nucleotides in length. The record is from RNAcentral. Lineage: Eukaryota; Metazoa; Platyhelminthes; Trematoda; Plagiorchiida; Fasciolidae.
GACUGCGUCGGUGUGGUUAAGGCGAUGGACUGCUAAUCCAUUGGGGUUUCCCCGCGUGGGUUCGAAUCCCAUCCCCGUCG